This 418-nucleotide ribosomal RNA is filed under the name Staphylococcus pseudintermedius. Its description in RNAcentral is "partial 23S ribosomal RNA". It matches the Rfam family "Bacterial large subunit ribosomal RNA", at positions 380 to 800 of the family's 2925-position model. The record is from RNAcentral. Lineage: Bacteria; Bacillati; Bacillota; Bacilli; Caryophanales; Staphylococcaceae.
CGAAAACGAAUUCUCUCUUGAGUGGAUCCUGAGUACGACGGAGCACGUGAAAUUCCGUCGGAAUCUGGGAGGACCAUCUCCUAAGGCUAAAUACUCUCUAGUGACCGAUAGUGAACCAGUACCGUGAGGGAAAGGUGAAAAGUACCCCGGAAGGGGAGUGAAAGAGAACUUGAAACCGUGUGCUUACAAGUAGUCAGAGCCCGUUAAUGGGUGAUGGCGUGCCUUUUGUAGAAUGAACCGGCGAGUUACGAUCUGAUGCAAGGUUAAGCAGAAAAUGUGGAGCCGUAGCGAAAGCGAGUCUGAAUAGGGCGAAUGAGUAUUUGGUCGUAGACCCGAAACCAGGUGAUCUACCCUUGGUCAGGUUGAAGUUCAGGUAACACUGAAUGGAGGACCGAACCGACUUACGUUGAAAAGUGAG